This 383-nucleotide long non-coding RNA is filed under the name Lotus japonicus. Its description in RNAcentral is "long non-coding RNA (LJAP_LNC002173)". Lineage: Eukaryota; Viridiplantae; Streptophyta; Magnoliopsida; Fabales; Fabaceae. The record is from RNAcentral.
UGGUCAAUCUAGAAAAUGAGAAAUAAUUUUGUCUUCAAUAACACUUGCCCUGAUCCACAAUUUGCUCUGCAACAGGUAGCUUCUUCCCUCUCCACUAUGGACCUUGCGAGACCGGUUAAGGAGAACAUAGUCAAUGAAAACCCGAACAUGAGAAGUGUCAGACCAGUGAUUUGGGUUCCUCCUCCGGGGAAUUACCUUAAAAUUAAUGUUGAUGCAAGUUGGGUUAGAGGCCUACCUUAUGCAUCGUUGGGUGUAGUUAUCAGAGACAAAUUCUCCACCCUCUUAGCAGGAACUCAUGCUAAGUUCUUCUCUUCCUCUCCUCUGACUGCAGAAGCUAGAGCCAUCAGAGAAGGAUAGACCCUUGCUCAUAACCCUAACUGUCC